This is a long non-coding RNA of Exaiptasia diaphana, 259 nucleotides long. RefSeq lists it as uncharacterized. NCBI's taxonomy places the organism in Eukaryota, Metazoa, Cnidaria, Anthozoa, Actiniaria, Aiptasiidae. The record is from RefSeq and is a predicted model, not a curated record. The transcript is spliced from 3 exons.
CGGUGGCGGUGGAGGUGGAGGCAAACCCCCUCCACCACCUCCAGGAAAUUGCAUAGACAAAAGUGGUGCUUGUCCCCUUUGGGUAUCACUUUGUAGAAGUCAUGACAACAUAAGAAAGAUUUGCCGAAAAACAUGCGGUAGCUGUUAGUCUAAUUUCUUCGAUUCUGGGACAAAACCAACGUUAUGUAGUAGUGGUAUGUUUGGCAUAGACAGUAUCACAAUGAAGUAGAACAGAAAUAAAGCAUUUUAAAAAUCAAAA